Molecule: unclassified non-coding RNA, 368 nt
Filed under: fungal sp.
Lineage: Eukaryota; Fungi
Description: partial internal transcribed spacer region
Rfam family: Eukaryotic small subunit ribosomal RNA (bases 1-46)
Source: RNAcentral
AAGUCGUAACAAGGUUUCCGUAGGUGAACCUGCGGAAGGAUCAUUAUAGCAUGUGGAAGGGGGGUGGUGGAUGGAAUAUGCCAUUGCCCGCCCGCCAAUCAGCGCCGGGAGCGAGCCGCUGUGGCGGCGCGUGCCCGAGCCGGAGGGGGAUCUAUGCGAUCUCGAUCUAUGCGAUGGAGGUCUAUGCGAUGGAUCUCGAUCUAUGCGAUGGAGAUCUAUGCGAUCUCGAUCUAUGCGAUGGAGAUCUAUCAGAUGGUCCGCACUGUCCAUCAGAUCCCUACAAUCAGCCCCAAUCUGUAUGUAUGUCGGACUGUGUCCAAUCAAUCAAAUGUAAUGUACAACUUUUAACAAUGGAUCUCUCGGCUCCU